Small nucleolar RNA from Cavia aperea (Brazilian guinea pig), 135 nucleotides. NCBI's taxonomy places the organism in Eukaryota, Metazoa, Chordata, Mammalia, Rodentia, Caviidae. The record is from Ensembl.
ACGGCCCUGAUUCAAGGCCAGCAGUUUUCUGAAGCUGCUGGUUUGAAGUAGGAGCCUAAAGUGGUAUCUUUCUAUGGGCUGUAGGCCAUUUUGGAGCUUUAGAAUGUAAUGGUCAAUUCAUUAAAAGAAACCACC